GACGAACGCUGGCGGCGUGCUUAACACAUGCAAGUCGAACGGGUCUGCCCUGUUUUUUGCGGGGUGGGUCAGUGGCGAACGGGUGAGUAACACGUGAGUAACCUGCCCCUCACUUCUGGAUAACCGCUUGAAGGGGUGGCUAAUACGGGGUGUUCUGGCUGUGCCGCAUGGUGUGGCUGGGAAAGAUUCACUUUUGUGGUGUUUUGGUGGGGGAUGGGCUCGCGGCCUAUCAGCUUGUUGGUGGGGUGAUGGCCUGCCAAGGCUUUGACGGGUAGCCGGCCUGGGAGGGUGGGCGGUCACACUGGGACGGAGAUACGGCCCAGACUCCUGCGGGAGGCAGCAGUGGGGGGUAUUGCACAAUGGGCGGAAGCCUGAUGCAGCGACGUCGCGUGAGGGAUGGAGGCCUUCGAGUUGUGAACCUCUUUCGCCGGUGAAGAAGGUCCUGCUCUUUGUGGUGGGGUUGACGGUAGCCGGGUUAUGAAGCGCCGGCUAACUACGUG
RNAcentral lists this ribosomal RNA (500 nucleotides) under uncultured bacterium. RNAcentral describes it as "partial 16S ribosomal RNA". It matches the Rfam family "Bacterial small subunit ribosomal RNA", at positions 28 to 507 of the family's 1533-position model. The record is from RNAcentral.